GAUACACCUUUUCAUGUAACUGAAAUCAAAGAAGAUGAUUAAAACAUCAGUGCCAAGGACAUAAGAAGACAGCACAUGAAGAUAUCUUCAAGAAGACAGCGUGGAAGAUGUAGCUUUGGUAAUUUAAAGAAAGUGGAAGACACAGAAACAGUUACGCGGUAACUGAAGGAAAAUAAGAAAGUUAAAAAUAUGACUGCAACAAUAAAUAUUUCAAAGGACAGUGAAUAAUAAAAUGGAUAUAUCUGAAGACCAAGCUGCUGAUCUGGUACAGUGAGUCAAGAAGAUCUCACAAUAAGCAAAGCAAAAAUACAAAAAAAAAGGUCGCAUAAUGAGUGGAAGUUAAGAGACAUAGAUACAAGUUAUUAAAAAAAACAUCUAAUAGGAAUUUUAGGCUGAAACAACAGAAACAAUGGGAGGU
Long non-coding RNA from Gorilla gorilla gorilla (western lowland gorilla), 418 nucleotides. RefSeq lists it as uncharacterized. The record is from RefSeq and is a predicted model, not a curated record. NCBI's taxonomy places the organism in Eukaryota, Metazoa, Chordata, Mammalia, Primates, Hominidae. The transcript has 3 exons.